GCUUGAUGGAAUUAUCAGACUUGUAGCAAAGUUGUUCUAACAAGUGUGAUACAGUCAUGAUAUAACAAGAAUGUUACAAGGUUGACGACCCAAGGUUGUAACAAUAUUGUUGUAUGUAGACUGUAUCGGACUUGUUGGAACAACCUUGCAACAAGUCUGUUAAUAUCAACAAGG
This is a non-coding RNA of Paramuricea clavata, 174 nucleotides long. NCBI's taxonomy places the organism in Eukaryota, Metazoa, Cnidaria, Anthozoa, Malacalcyonacea, Plexauridae. The record is from the annotation of a GenBank genome assembly.